Molecule: long non-coding RNA, 1267 nt
Filed under: Equus caballus (horse)
Lineage: Eukaryota; Metazoa; Chordata; Mammalia; Perissodactyla; Equidae
Description: lncRNA (ENSECAG00000034188.3)
Source: RNAcentral
CCUAAAUGCCGGUUCCUCAGGAGCCCUCACAGCGACACCUCCGCCUCCGUCCCCGAGGCCAUCCCCCUUCCCUGGCGGGCUGAGGGUCACCAAAGCCCUCCUGUCACUUUCCCUCUGCUUCCCCUGGCCCUGCUUGGAGAGCUUGGCCAGCAGCCUGGCUCUGCAGCUCAGGGUGGGGGCUGUGCCCUGGCACCCUCCCUCUGAGGUGCCGUCCCUCCCCUGCCUCAUUUGCUGCCGCUGACCUUACCGAGUUAAAUUAAAAAGCAAUGUUCUGUGUGCGGCUCCAGCCCCGUGGAGCUUGACUCUGGGAAGACGAAGACAAUUACCGGCCCCUCCGUCUCCCUCUCGUCUGGCUGCCUUAUAAUUUUUUCCCCUGCUGCCUGGUGGCUUCCCUGGUAUCUCCAUACUUCGCCUGUAGGUCCACUUUCACUCAUCUUCAGUGAAAGCAGGAAGGGCCCAAGGACCACCCUGCAUAACAAAGUUGAAGGAAACAGGAAUGCUCAAAAGCACUGCCCAUCUCCGACCCUGCCGUUCACAGCUUCCUCACCUGGGAUUGUUGCUCAGCGUCCAUGGAUGGACUUCAGAGGCGUGUGUGACAUUUUCCUGAGGUUGGCUGGACAGAAGACACAAUUCUUGAGGUUCAAGGAACUGCUAAAGGAGAACUGUGGCCCCCACGAGUCUGUAUCUUCAAGAAGUCUGUGGAUAGAAAGAAGCAGCAGAAGCUGGAGAUCCUUCUUACCGGUGGCAAGAGCUUGGAAAACUCCCUCAGACGCUCAUUCGCCUCCACGAACAAACAGCCUGGAUUCCCUGCUGGUCGGCUGGACCAGGAAGAAAGGGUGGGAGCUAGUCAGCCAUGGAUCUUAAGCUCCAGCUGUUUGAGAAUAUGUUUCUUUUCUCUUGCCCUCUCCCUCGUCUCAUCUUUUCUAUCCUUCACCCGGUUCUCCUAAUCCUUCGAAAGAGAGGCACAAGGUUUUCUUCUCCCCAGAGCAACCAGAGAGAGAAAGCAAAAAAGCUUUCGCUCCAAGGAACUCUGCUCCUGUUUUAUGGGGUUUGUCAAUAACGUUCCUUCACUAAGAUAGCAUCUCAGCAGAAUGAAAGAGCCCUCUGCUCUUCGUGAAAAGAGCUGUUUUCUCUUGGGGGUGUGGGGGGGUCAUUAAAUAAACCUGUUUUUUAAAAAAGUACCUCUGAAACAAGGAAAUGUGUUAUUAUUGUAAUUGUCUAAUGCUAAUUAUACUUAUUACUAUAAUAACCAUUUGGUUGUAACAAA